UGACCUCGGAUCAGGUAGGGAUACCCGCUGAACUUAAGCAUAUCAAUAAGCGGAGGAAAAGAAACCAACCGGGAUUGCCUCAGUAACGGCGAGUGAAGCGGCAAGAGCUCAAAUUUGAAAGCUGGCUCCUUCGGGGUCCGCAUUGUAAUUUGCAGAGGAUGCUUCGGGUGCGGCCCCUGUCUAAGUGCCCUGGAACGGGCCGUCAGAGAGGGUGAGAAUCCCGUC
Molecule: non-coding RNA, 225 nt
Filed under: Aspergillus oryzae
Lineage: Eukaryota; Fungi; Ascomycota; Eurotiomycetes; Eurotiales; Aspergillaceae
Description: Eukaryotic large subunit ribosomal RNA
Rfam family: Eukaryotic large subunit ribosomal RNA
Source: Rfam by way of RNAcentral